CCUACGGGAGGCAGCAGUGAGGAAUAUUGGUCAAUGGGCGGAAGCCUGAACCAGCCAAGUCGCGUGAGGGAAUAAGGCCCUACGGGUCGUAAACCUCUUUUGCCGGGGAGCAAGGGCGGGGACGUGUCCCGUCCCGGAGAGUACCCGUAGAAAAAGCAUCGGCUAACUCCUUGCCAGCAGCCGCGGAAUACGGAGGAUGCGAGCGUUAUCCGGAUUUAUUGGGUUUAAAGGGUGCGUAGGCGGGCUUUUAAGUCAGCGGUAAAAAUUCGGGGCUCAACCCCGUCCGGCCGUUGAAACUGGGGGCCUUGAGUGGGCGAGAAGAAGGCGGAAUGCGUGGUGUAGCGGUGAAAUGCAUAGAUAUCACGCAGAACCCCGAUUGCGAAGGCAGCCUUCCGGGGCACGACUGACGCUGAGGCACGAGAGUGCGGGGAUCGAACAGGAUUAGAUACCCCAGUAGUC
RNAcentral lists this ribosomal RNA (459 nucleotides) under uncultured bacterium. RNAcentral's name for it is "partial 16S ribosomal RNA". It matches the Rfam family "Bacterial small subunit ribosomal RNA", at positions 338 to 795 of the family's 1533-position model. The record is from RNAcentral.